This 1214-nucleotide long non-coding RNA is filed under the name Homo sapiens (human). RNAcentral's name for it is "HSALNT0407844". Lineage: Eukaryota; Metazoa; Chordata; Mammalia; Primates; Hominidae. The record is from RNAcentral.
UUUUGAAAUUUUCUGUGGGGGUGGGGUCUCCCUAUGCUGCCCAGGCUGGUCGGCUGUUCUACUUUCAACUCACCCCAGCCCAGGCCCUUCACCUCUCCCUCUCUCUCACAUUUUCCAAGCCCUCCAGGCCCUAAACCACCUGAUACUGACUGGUACAUAGACGUGGAGUCUCACGUAAACCUCUGAAAAGAAAACUGCUGUUGAUUUGGACUCUGGAUACCAUUACCCAGCUCACGCUCCUUGCUGUGACGACUCAUUUGGACUCAUACACCUGCCCAGGGCAUCCAUGUACAUAAUCCUGUGAAUCAAAGGCAGGAGAGCACCCACAUGGACACUCGGGUCUGUGGCAUCCCCACCAAAUGAUGACUCAUCACCAGCUUGAAGACCUCUGCUUUUUCUGCUCGGCAAGGAGAAACGUGGCUCGAGCCUGCUGAGAGGGCCAGGAAGCAGCAGCAAAGGAAAGAAAGAUUGGAGGACUGGGAGUAAGAGAUACAGAAACAAAUGGAAUGCGACAUGCCAGAAAUGUAUCCCCUGCUGGAGCACCAGGCUGUAGGGGGGGAGGGACGAUGGGGCAGGGGCAGAGGGGCUGAAUGGGGCGUGGAGGGGGCAGGCCCUCGGCCUCUUUGCACCGGGCAGAGUGACGAGCUUCGCCGGUGUCUUCAUUGAAGUCCUGUUGGUCCCUACCGGCACAUCACACACUCCUGGAAGCAUGAUCUUCACUCCCUUCCUUCCACCUGCUGACCUGAAUGUGAAAGGGCCGCAAAAAGACCCUGAGGAAUUGGUUGCUGUAUCUGACACCGCGGAGGACCCAUCCAGUGGCACAGGCUUGCCCAGGGAACCUGCUCUUCUGCGAGGGUCUUGGAGGAGCCGGUUCCAGAGGGCCCUGGCAUGUUUCAUCAAGUGCUUCAGGCGAGAGCUCCUUCGGAGCCAGCCUCUGCCUGUCUCACUGGCUCGCCACCAAGCCCAUCCGCCUCCCCUUCCUGUUCCACCAAGAGAACCUCAGGCCAAGUCAGAAAUCCCCAGGGCUCCCGAGGGUCCACUUGUCACUCGCUUUCCUCCCUAGGGGAGGAUACCGGGCACUCGGAAUCUGAGACCACCGGAGCCACAGACACAGGCGUGAACGGUGACCGAGCCCCCUCUGAUGCUCCAUGCCCCUGCUCGCCCCAGUGUCCCGGUCACCGGGCCUGAAAUAAAUGCUGGCACGCUUGACUGUU